GACAGAGGGUGCAAACGUUGCUCGGAAUCACUGGGCGUAAAGGGCGUGUAGGCGGGACGGUAAGUCGGGCGUGAAAUCCCUAGGCUCAACCUAGGAACUGCACUCGAAACUACCAUUCUUGAGUGUCGGGAGAGGAAAGCGGAAUUCCUGGUGUAAGAGGUGAAAUUCGUAGAUAAUCAGGAGGAACACCAGUGGCGAAGGCGGCUUCUGGACGAUAACUGACGCUGAGACGCGAAAGCGUGGGGAGCAAACAGG
This 255-nucleotide ribosomal RNA is filed under the name uncultured bacterium. RNAcentral describes it as "partial 16S ribosomal RNA". It matches the Rfam family "Bacterial small subunit ribosomal RNA", at positions 524 to 776 of the family's 1533-position model. The record is from RNAcentral.